RNAcentral lists this small nucleolar RNA (128 nucleotides) under Spermophilus dauricus (Daurian ground squirrel). RNAcentral's name for it is "Small nucleolar RNA SNORA40 (ENSSDAG00000022825.1)". It matches the Rfam family "Small nucleolar RNA SNORA40". Rfam says of the family: The snoRNA ACA 40 belongs to the H/ACA family of snoRNAs and guides the pseudouridylation of 28S rRNA subunit at position U4565. NB This family has a high threshold value to exclude a large number of closely related sequences that do not appear to have conserved H and ACA boxes, and may be pseudogenes. Lineage: Eukaryota; Metazoa; Chordata; Mammalia; Rodentia; Sciuridae. The record is from Rfam by way of RNAcentral.
AGCAUUUGUGUAUGUUUUUGUUUAACUUGUGGACAAAGACUUAUAGACAAGUGCAAAAAAUAGAUCCUCUUUUGCAACCCAGAACUCAUUGUUCAGUAUGAGUUUUGAUAAAUAUAAGCAGGUAUAUU